RNAcentral lists this ribosomal RNA (336 nucleotides) under Pseudoxenodon macrops. RNAcentral describes it as "partial 12S ribosomal RNA". The record is from RNAcentral. Lineage: Eukaryota; Metazoa; Chordata; Lepidosauria; Squamata; Pseudoxenodontidae.
AAAGACUUGACGGUACUUCACAACAACCUAGAGGAGCCUGUCCAAUAACCGAUACCCCACGAUUAACCCUACCUGCCCUAGCCAUAACAGUCUAUAUACCGCCGUCGCCAGCUUACCUUAUGAAAGAAACAAAGUGAGCCCAACAACAACACAUUAACACGACAGGUCGAGGUGUAACUAAUGAGCAGGCCAAAGAUGGGCUACAUUUUCCUAAACAGAAAAUACGAAUNCAACUAUGAAAUUAGAAACUGAAGGUGGAUUUAGCAGUAAGCUAACAAUAAAAUACUUAGCUAAAACUAUAGCAAUGAAGUGCGUACACACCGCCCGUCAUCCCUG